ACGGAGGCAGCAGUGGGGAAUAUUGCACAAUGGGGGAAACCCUGAUGCAGCGACGCCGCGUGAGUGAAGAAGUAUUUCGGUAUGUAAAGCUCUAUCAGCAAGGAAGAAAAUGACGGUACUUGACUAAGAAGCCCCGGCUAACUACGUGCCAGCAGCCGCGGUAAUACGUAGGGGGCAAGCGUUAUCCGGAUUUACUGGGUGUAAAGGGAGCGUAGACGGCAUAGCAAGUCUGAAGUGAAAUGCAUGGGCUCAACCCAUGAACUGCUUUGGAAACUGUUAAGCUAGAGUGCAGGAGAGGUAAGUGGAAUUCCUAGUGUAGCGGUGAAAUGCGUAGAUAUUAGGAGGAACACCAGAGGCGAAGGCGGCUUACUGGACUGUAACUGACGUUGAGGCUCGAAAGCGUGGGGAGCAAACAGGAUUAGAUACCCUGGUA
Molecule: ribosomal RNA, 433 nt
Filed under: uncultured Lachnospiraceae bacterium
Lineage: Bacteria; Bacillati; Bacillota; Clostridia; Lachnospirales; Lachnospiraceae
Description: partial 16S ribosomal RNA
Rfam family: Bacterial small subunit ribosomal RNA
Source: RNAcentral